UAGGCGUAAAUGAUGCGAGUUAAGUGUGGGGGCAUCUACGAGAUGGCCCUGUGCUGUAGGGUAGCCGUUAAACUCGCUGCCUGGGGAGUACGGUCGCAAGGCUGAAACUUAAAGGAAUUGGCGGGGGAGCACCACAAGAGGUGGAGGCUGCGGUUUAAUUGGAUUCAACGCCGGAGAUCUCACCAGGGGCGACAGCAGUAUGAUGGCCAGGUUGAUGGCCUUGCUUGACAAGCUGAGAGGUGGUGCAUGGCGUCAGUGACU
Molecule: ribosomal RNA, 261 nt
Filed under: uncultured archaeon
Lineage: Archaea
Description: partial 16S ribosomal RNA
Rfam family: Archaeal small subunit ribosomal RNA
Source: RNAcentral